UCCUACGGGAAGCAGCAGUGAGGAAUAUUGGUCAAUGGGCGAGAGCCUGAACCAGCCAAGUCGCGUGAAGGAAGAAGGACCUAUGGUUCGUAAACUUCUUUUGCAGGGGAAUAAAGUGCAGGACGUGUCCUGUUUUGUAUGUACCCUGAGAAUAAGGAUCGGCUAACUCCGUGCCAGCAGCCGCGGUAAUACGGAGGAUCCGAGCGUUAUCCGGAUUUAUUGGGUUUAAAGGGUGCGUAGGUGGUUUGAUAAGUCAGCGGUGAAAGUUUGCAGCUUAACUGUAAAAAUGCCGUUGAAACUGUCGGACUUGAGUGUAAAUGAGGUAGGCGGAAUGCGUGGUGUAGCGGUGAAAUGCUUAGAUAUCACGCAGAACUCCGAUUGCGAAGGCAGCUUACUAAGCUACAACUGACACUGAAGCACGAAAGCGUGGGGAUCAAACAGGAUUAGAUACCCUGGUAGUCCACGCAGUAAACGAUGAUUACUAGCUGUUUGCGAUACACAGUAAGCGGCACAGCGAAAGCGUUAAGUAAUCCACCUGGGGAGUACGCCGGCAACGGUGAAACUCAAAGGAAAUUGACAGAAAC
This 584-nucleotide ribosomal RNA is filed under the name uncultured Bacteroidota bacterium. RNAcentral's name for it is "bacterial SSU rRNA". It matches the Rfam family "Bacterial small subunit ribosomal RNA", at positions 337 to 920 of the family's 1533-position model. The record is from RNAcentral. Lineage: Bacteria; Pseudomonadati; Bacteroidota.